RNAcentral lists this ribosomal RNA (1217 nucleotides) under uncultured Rhizaria. RNAcentral describes it as "SSU rRNA". It matches the Rfam family "Eukaryotic small subunit ribosomal RNA", at positions 577 to 1805 of the family's 1831-position model. The record is from RNAcentral.
CGGUAAUUCCAGCUCCAAUAGCGUAUACUAAAGUUGUUGCAGUUAAAAAGCUCGUAGUUGGAUUUCUGCGGGGACGGAGCGGCCGGACGCAACUUGCGUCUCGAGCUAGCGCUUUCCCCGCAUCCUGCCGCGAACCGUGCUACCAUUAGUUUGGUGGCGCUGGGGAUCGGCUCGAUUACUUUGAGAAAAAUAGAGUGUUCAAAGCAGGCCACACGCCUUGAAUAAGUUAGCAUGGAAUAAUGACUAAGGACUUUGGUUCUUUUCGUUGGUGUUCGGGACUGAAGUAAUGAUUGAUAGGGACAGUUGGGGCGGUCCGUAUUCCAAAGCGAGAGGUGAAAUUCUUAGACCUUCGGAAGACGAACAGCUGCGAAAGCGUUCCGCAAGGAUGUUCCCUUUGAUCAAGAACGAAAGUUGGGGGAUCGAAGACGAUCAGAUACCGUCGUAGUCUCAACUAUAAACUAUACCAGCUAGGGAUCGGCCAACGUUUAAUUAUUCGACUUGGUCGGCACCUUAUGAGAAAUCAAAGCAUCUGGGUUCCGGGGGGAGUAUGGUCGCAAGGCUGAAACUUAAAGGAAUUGACGGAAGGGCACCACCAGGCGUGGAGCCUGUGGCUUAAUUUGACUCAACACGGGAAAACUUACCAGGUCCAGACAUAGGAAGGAUUGACAGAUUGAUAGCUCUUUCUUGAUUCUGUGGGUGGUGGUGCAUGGCCGUUUUUAGUCGGUGAAGUGAUUUGUCUGCUUAAUUGCGUUAACGGACGAGACCCCAGCCUGCUAAAUAGCGCGGCCGAGCUUUGCUCGGUACGAGCUUCUUAGAGGGACCAUGAUGCGCGAUAGCACAAGGAAGUUUGGGGCAACAACAGAUCUGUGAUGCCCUUAGAUGUUCUGGGCCGCACACGGGCUACACUGGCGCCUGCAACGAGCAUAUCAGCUGGCCCGAGAGGGUCUUGGCUAAUCUUUGGAACCGGCGCCGUGCUUGGGAUUGACCAUUGCAAUUGUUGGUCACGCAACGAGGAAUGCCUUGUAAACGCGAGUCAUCAGCUCGCAUUGAAUACGUCCCUGCCCUUUGUACACACCGCCCGUCGCUCCUACCGAUGAAUGUUCCGAUGAAAUUUUCGGAGAGCGCCGGAGAACGGGGCUCUGCCCUGCAGAACUGGAGGCUCAAAGUCACUUAAAUCUGAACAUUUCGAGGAAGGAGAAGUCGUAACAAGGUAGCCG